RNAcentral lists this ribosomal RNA (426 nucleotides) under Triticum aestivum (bread wheat). Its description in RNAcentral is "partial small subunit ribosomal RNA". The record is from RNAcentral. Lineage: Eukaryota; Viridiplantae; Streptophyta; Magnoliopsida; Poales; Poaceae.
AUGGACCAGCCGAAGAAGCAGCAGCCCAGCGCCGCCCCGUCGCGGGCGGCGCCAGCACCGAAGAAGUCGACGUCGACGCUCCUUGACGCGUUCGAGGUGGACUGCAUCAGGCGGGAGCUGGAGAGUCUCCUCCUCAAGCAGAACGCCGGCGAGGGCUCGGCAUCCAGCAGCAGCGACGCCGCGGCGGAAAUACUCGGCCUCAGUCGUCCCCGUCGCCACAGCAACAAGAAGACGAUCAGUGCCAAGAACGCUAUACCCGCGCCGCCGCCACCACCACCUGCCAAGAAGCUCUCGGGCGGCGGGGCGCGGCUACGUCUGGGGAAGCACGCAGUGAAGCUAUGCAGCGGCGCCCUGGCCGUUUCCCCCGCCGUUGAAAACGGCCGGAGGCCGCGGCGCGCGGGCUACCGGGAGGUGGAGAAGGUGUAG